This 585-nucleotide long non-coding RNA is filed under the name Pocillopora damicornis (cauliflower coral). RNAcentral's name for it is "uncharacterized LOC113682872, transcript variant X1". The record is from RNAcentral. Lineage: Eukaryota; Metazoa; Cnidaria; Anthozoa; Scleractinia; Pocilloporidae.
AAUUACAUGCAGCAAUCUGGCAGACGUUUACAACCGCAAAUAGGUUUUGCUCAAAAUGUCUUUUCAGUGUAGACAAUGGUUUACUUGAAAAAUAGUUAAUGAUGUCGACCAGGAUUGACGAUUACAAGAUGAUAUGUUGAUAUACUGAUUACAGAUUACUGGAGGAAGCAAGUAAUAAAGAUUGGGCCUAAGAGAGCAUCAAUUAGGAAAGGCAGGAGAAAUUUGCUGUUCGUCAGGGGAAGGAAAGCUACUACAGUAAUUACACCAAGAAAAAGCUCAUCCUACACUAUGGAGUAAAGUUUGCUUGAUGAAAAGGCAUUUUGAAGACUGGCGUCUCGUGUUCCUCAGGUUUGUUCGACCACCCAAAACUGGAUACCAAGGAACACGAUCACCUUAAAUAUAAGACCAGAGACAAGUAUCAAUCUUGGAACGAAGGCAAAAUUGGAUCGACCCCAAUUCAGAGAAUAAAGCGAAAAAUUGGGGUUUGAUCCAUCCGCCAUCCCCCACCACACCCGCCUCCAUUAGGCAGUACUUAAAAGUUAUCAACCUUUGGUUUCCUGUCCACCAUCUACCACCACACCCGCC